Molecule: ribosomal RNA, 492 nt
Filed under: uncultured bacterium
Lineage: Bacteria
Description: partial 16S ribosomal RNA
Rfam family: Bacterial small subunit ribosomal RNA
Source: RNAcentral
AGUGAACGCUGGCGGUAGGCCUAACACAUGCAAGUCGAACGGCAGCACAGUAAGAGCUUGCUCUUACGGGUGGCGAGUGGCGGACGGGUGAGGAAUACAUCGGAAUCUACUUUUUCGUGGGGGAUAACGUAGGGAAACUUACGCUAAUACCGCAUACGACCUACGGGUGAAAGCAGGGGAUCUUCUGACCUUGCGCGAUUGAAUGAGCCGAUGUCGGAUUAGCUAGUUGGCGGGGUAAAGGCCCACCAAGGCGACGAUCCGUAGCUGGUCUGAGAGGAGGAUCAGCCACACUGGAACUGAGACACGGUCCAGACUCCUACGGGAGGCAGCAGUGGGGAAUAUUGGACAAUGGGCGCAAGCCUGAUCCAGCCAUACCGCGUGGGUGAAGAAGGCCUUCGGGUUGUAAAGCCCUUUUGUUGGGAAAGAAAAGCAGCAGGUUAAUACCCCGCUGUUCUGACGGUACCCAAAGAAUAAGCACCGGCUAACUUCGUG